AAAAAAUGGCACAUUGAUUUCAAUAAAAUUCUCUUGCCUUAAAUAAGCCUUUAAUUAUUCCGACAACAACAUUGACAUGUGCUCAGGUUAGCAUACUGCAUAAUAUUUGAAUGCUCAAUGACUAAAAAAAUCAACAUUUCAUAUUUUGCCAACAUAAUUUCAAAGUAAAUUACUGUUUUAUUCUUGAGUAGCUGAGUAACAUUAAUA
This 207-nucleotide unclassified non-coding RNA is filed under the name Hevea brasiliensis (rubber tree). The record is from RNAcentral. Lineage: Eukaryota; Viridiplantae; Streptophyta; Magnoliopsida; Malpighiales; Euphorbiaceae.